RNAcentral lists this ribosomal RNA (183 nucleotides) under Myotis sodalis (Indiana bat). Its description in RNAcentral is "partial 16S ribosomal RNA". Lineage: Eukaryota; Metazoa; Chordata; Mammalia; Chiroptera; Vespertilionidae. The record is from RNAcentral.
AGAAGCAAUAAUGUUAAUAUGAGUAACAAGAAAAUUUUCUCCCUGCAUGAGUGUAUAUCAGAACGAAUGAUGCACUGGUAGUUAACAAAUACAGACAUAACUAGCUAACUAAAAUUCUUAAUACAACUGUUAGUCCAACACAGGCAUGCACCAGGAAGAUAAAAGAAGUAAAAGGAACUCGGC